AUUUUUGUAGUUGAAACACAAUGGUUUUCCAUGCCAUAGGUUAUGGUUAAAAUCCAUGCUAAAAUA
Molecule: transfer RNA, 66 nt
Filed under: Monodelphis domestica (gray short-tailed opossum)
Lineage: Eukaryota; Metazoa; Chordata; Mammalia; Didelphimorphia; Didelphidae
Rfam family: tRNA
About the family: Transfer RNA (tRNA) molecules are approximately 80 nucleotides in length. Their secondary structure includes four short double-helical elements and three loops (D, anti-codon, and T loops). Further hydrogen bonds mediate the characteristic L-shaped molecular structure. tRNAs have two regions of fundamental functional importance: the anti-codon, which is responsible for specific mRNA codon recognition, and the 3' end, to which the tRNAs corresponding amino acid is attached (by aminoacyl-tRNA synthetases). tRNAs cope with the degeneracy of the genetic code in two manners: having more than one tRNA (with a specific anti-codon) for a particular amino acid; and 'wobble' base-pairing, i.e. permitting non-standard base-pairing at the 3rd anti-codon position.
Source: Rfam by way of RNAcentral